Long non-coding RNA from Chinchilla lanigera (long-tailed chinchilla), 2673 nucleotides. RefSeq lists it as uncharacterized. NCBI's taxonomy places the organism in Eukaryota, Metazoa, Chordata, Mammalia, Rodentia, Chinchillidae. The transcript has 3 exons. The record is from RefSeq and is a predicted model, not a curated record.
CUUUAUGGUCGGGAGGUUUCCGUGCAGAUUGCUCCACCUGGGAAAGGUUUGGAGCGAACAGUCUCUGCACAGCAAGGCCCUGUGCGGGAUGCUGGCGACAGCGGUGACCAAAAUUCAAGGCUCCACUCAAAACAAGCUGCAGUACACCUGGGAAAGCCAUGUGGUCAUAAUGAGUUAUGAAAUUUCACUGAUCCGAGCUCUGGAGGAAAAGAAGAUGGUUACAUGAGGGCUGCAUACGGAAGAGCCUGAACUUAUUAUCUGCGACAGGGCAUGGCCAGAGGAGAACUAUUGCUGUAAGAGUAUAAGAGAAUCCACAAUUUCAGAACCAAGAAAGACUGAGAUACAACUGCAAGGCAUUAUGGGAUUACCUGGCCAUGUUUCUAGUCAGAAAUCUGGGGAAAGUAGCUGUUAGUUCACAGAGUUAAAUACAUAUUGUCUCAAAUAAUUUUGCAUGUGUUUAUUGUUUUCCUCACAGUUAUACUAAAAGCAACAUGUAGACAGUCAUACAGUUAGCAUGGUCAUUUCCUUAGAGAAGUGACUGAUCCAAUCUUUGAAUUCUUCAUGAUUUGAGCACAGUGCUAUAUAGGAAAAUCAUGAUGCUCAAGGGCAGCAGAAGGAGCACUUGAAAGGUAAUAAUAAUAUGGUAAUAAUAGAGGCACAGUCUAACAUGGUUUACAUAUGUGUUCCUGUUUCAUUUUUAUUAUGAUCCUUUAAAGUAGGAACAAUUAUUCCUUUCAUUACUGAGAUAAAGAAAGCAAUUCUAUGUAAUGGUUAGGAACAUGGGCUCUGAAAUCAGACUGACUUCAAAGCAGGGCUCUGUUACUAGCUAUAAGACCUCUGAUGAGUUAUUUUAUUUUUCUGUGGGUCAGUUUCCUCAGCUAUAGUCUGGAUAAUGAUAAUGCUUACCCUGAGGAGUCAGGGAAUUAAAUGCAUGGAAAGUGCUUGUUCAGUGCCUGCAACAUAGUAAACACUAUACAACUGAAAACUAUUACUAUUCCAGAUGAAGAAUAUACAGCUCAGAGAUGUUAAGAAUUUCGCCCCAUGCCAAAAAAGGUGAUAGGACUAGAAAUAAAAUCUAGGUCUGCCUGGCCCCAAAGUCAGUUCUCUUAAUUGUUGCUAUGUACUAAUUCAAGCUAUUACACUAACAAAACAAAACUGUAGAUAAAAUACUUGACUUGGAAUUAGGUCCCAGGCACUUGGUUCAGGCCUGGCUCUGUAACUACCUUGUGGUAUCAUUUUGGGUAAGCCACAGCCCUUGCAUAGAGAACCCUCUCCCCACUUCCCAGCAGCCAGUGUCUUUAUUUACAGAGUGGGGUUGGACUACAUGAUCUCCAAGUUCCCACCCACUUUCUGUCUUCUAUGGUUCCAAGAAGAGCUUCCAGAUUUUGUGCACUGGUUGGGCAGUGACUGGCCAUGCAAUCACAUUAUCACCAUCUAAGACAUUUUUGUGGAACAAAAGCAGUUCUGUUUUUAUCUUGGACUUCCCAUUGUGUUUCUCCAUCCCUGGCUGUGUAAAUCGAAGGAGGAAGAAAAGGAAAGAGUCUACUUUUUUAUGUAGUAGGUAGUAGAAACAGUUAAAUUGAUGUUUAUCUAUAUACAUUUCUACAGCUUCUCUUUUUCUAAUUAUUUUUAUAGUGAACAGGUAUUUCUUUUAUAAGCCGAAGAAACUGCAAUCUUAAAAGAAUGCCAACAAUCCCAGUGGCACCAGUACACCUGAUAGCCACGUCUUGGAGAAAUGGCAGAUUCUAGGGCUGUGGCAGGAAAUAUGCAAGUAAGUCUGAGAAUCCUAGAGUGCCAGAAGGUAAGAAAAUGUUCAAAAACAUAGAAACCCUACAGUGCUAGGGAAAUAACAGAGACAUGGAAGCCACCAGAGAUCUCCCAAUGGUCAAAGCUGCAAAUGUUUGAGCAACAAAAUAAACUCGUAUUGAUUUAUAUACCAAAGCAUAAAAUAAAUAUCCAUGCAGCCAUGCUGAUAUAAAUACAUAAUUGACUAAAUAAAUAAAUGAGGGAGAAGAGGCAAAUCUCUCUUGCAGGAAAAUUCCAAAUAAUUUAUGUAGAUACUCUGCCCUACGGGCUUUGCAAAGCAGCCCCCUUCCAAAUAGGACAUCAUGGGAAUGGUGCAAGGAGUGAUGUCCCAGGGGAGAAACCUGACAACACUGCUCAUCCAGGUGACUGAGGUCAGCAUUCACAGGAUAGAUCAUGUUGACAGCAUGUAUCCUUGAUAUGACGUGAUGAAAAUGGUAGUUUACCUUUGUAAUGACCUUCCUUCUCCAAACCCAGUCUAAUCAUGAGAAAAACAUCAGAUAAAUUCCAAUAGAGGGACACCUUAUAAAAUACUUGACCAGUACUUCUCAAAACUGUCAAGAUCUUCAAAAACCAAGAAAGCUUGUACAGCUGCCAAAGCCAGGAGGAGCUCCAGGUGACACAAUGACUUAAAUGUACCAUGGUGUCCUGGAACAGAAAAAAAGACAGGUAAGAACUAAGCCCUAAUUAAACAAGGGAAUUGAGUUCAUCAUAACGCAUUAUUUUUGCCUCAUUCACUGAAACAAAUGUGCCACACCAAUGUAUAGGUGGGUGGGUAAGUAGAGCAGCCUUCCUGCUGGGGCAGCCAAGGUGGAAUUGAGCUAAGUCUACUUAUUCAGAUCAACACAUUUGCAAGUUUUGCAAGUUGAC